UAUAUAUUAAUUUAAGAACUGGUAUAUUCCUAAUAGGGAGUCUUCUAUAGGUUCCUAGACCACUAAAAUAUCAUAGAUUGCCACCUUAGACUUGAAAUGGAUGAUCCUUAUUCAUCUCAGUCAGACCAGUGAAAGGUACAGAUUCAUGGCAGCUAGUCCAGCAAGCUUCCAAUAGUCAACUUCUAAUCGUCUCCUUUAGGACAAAAAAGAAAUGAUAUGCCUAGGAAGGCCACCAUGCAAUUGAGUGUAUCUGAAUCAUCCUUACAUAAUAUCAUUUCUUACAAUGUGUCCUCAACAUUCUGCUCUGCGUAUAUUUCUCCACCAUCUCCAAAAUACUCUUAGCCCAGUGCUCCUCAAACUUUAAUGUGCAUGUAAAUUAUGACCUUGUUAAAAUGCAGAUUCUAAUCCAAUCAGUCAGGGUUGGAGCCUAAGAUUCCCUGCAUUUUGAACGAGAGUCCAAGUGAUGCCAAAGCUGCCAGUCUAUGACCACACUGAGUGGUCAAGCUCUAGAUGACACCUACAAUAAUUACAGGCAUAAGGCCCCUCUUCUCAAGUAUCAUUUUGCACAGUUCCUGGACUAGGUCAGAUACAGACCCUACUUACCACAUAUAUCUCUGUACUACAAAUAUUAUGUAAUCAGUUUUCCUAAAUCUAGGCACCAAUAUUUUUAAAUAUAUUUUCAUGGUGUAAAUAGAAAUUAAUUUUCUAUAGUAAAUACACUAAGUACCUAAUCACAUUCAUCCAUCUUUAAUGUGAGUAGCAAAAAACAAAGGCACUAUCUUAAUGGUUUUUGAGUGAGACUUUAGCAAAUGCUAUCUUUAUGGAGAAACCUCUAGGCUGCUUUUUAGGAUGUGAGAAAAGUGGGGUAAAGGGAGGAGAACUGGAUGAACAUGGGACAGAGACAGGGAUGGGGCAAAUAUGGGGACACCUGUCUCAAAGAAGCAGCAAAUGAUAUAGAAAAUAAAUAUCUGUUCCAUCCCUGUUCCAGACAAGCCCAUGUACCUGCAAAGUAGGAAGUUGUGUAUCACAUUGCAACAAGGAAUGAUCCUGGCCCUGGUAAAGUCAACAGCAACAGUCAUCACAGGCGAAUCUGCCUAUCAGGGAUUGGAGACUCUCUAAACUCCCGCCUCUCAACCCAGGAAUCAGAGCCUGAGACAGAUAGAUGCUUCAUUCCUGCAUGAGGUGGUAUUCCCGCCAUGAGUCCUGGGCUUCUCCACUGGAUGGCCCUUUGUCUCCUUGGAACAGGUCAUGGGGAUGUCAUGGUCAUCCAGAACCCAAGAUACCAGGUUACUCAGUUGGGAAAGCCAGUGACCUUGAGUUGUUCUCAGAAUCUGAACCAUAGAGUCAUGUACUGGUACCAGCAGAAGCCAAGUCAUGCCCCAAAGCUGCUGUUCCACUACUAUGACAAAGAAUUUAACAAUGAAGCAGACACCCCUGAUAACUUCCAAUCCAGGAGGCCGAACACUUCUUUCUGCUUUCUUGACAUCAGCUCACCAGGCCUGGAGGAUGCAGCUGUGUACCUGUGUGCCAGCAGCAAAGACACAGAGCUGCAGUGCUGCCUCCCCUUUGUUCAUAAACCUCAUUGUUUCCCAGAUCCAGGUGCUUUCUCUAGGACUUCACCCCCGCCACCUCUCACAACAAUAGGAAGUGGGUUUGUGACUGUCAAUAUCUCAUCUGUAGACAGAGUUGAGCACAAACCAAUAAAAACCAUUGACAGUUAUGCCAAGAAUGGAAAAGUGGUUAUACAUGCCUAACAUUCAGUUGGUGGUAUUUUCCCAGAAUUACAUUUAGAACCCAUGCUAGCCUUUUCAGAAGAUGAAUAGGAAUUUUUUCUUUCUUUUUUUUCAUUGUUUUAAUCUAAGUCAGAGGCUUAGAAAUAUAAGAGGUGAUAUGUGAAGAAUGAUGGAGACCCAAUGUCGUAUAAACUCAAGUCUCUG
This is a non-coding RNA of Chlorocebus sabaeus (green monkey), 1937 nucleotides long. The record is from the annotation of a RefSeq genome assembly. NCBI's taxonomy places the organism in Eukaryota, Metazoa, Chordata, Mammalia, Primates, Cercopithecidae.